This is a long non-coding RNA of Gorilla gorilla gorilla (western lowland gorilla), 836 nucleotides long. RefSeq lists it as uncharacterized. The record is from RefSeq and is a predicted model, not a curated record. The transcript has 2 exons. NCBI's taxonomy places the organism in Eukaryota, Metazoa, Chordata, Mammalia, Primates, Hominidae.
UGUGGGGGCAGAGGAAUGGGGCGGGGUCAAGGCUGAAGGCCGGGGCGGGGCGGAGGGAUGGGGCGGAGGGACGGCAUCAGGCCGGGCCUGGGGCGGGGCGGGGCGCGGCGCUUUCCGCAAGCUGCCACCGGAGGGCGCGCUGGGCGGGCAGCGGCGGCAGACCACGCAGGCAGCCUGUAAGCCACAGCGGACGCAGGGGGCCGCAGCGGGUGCUCAGCCCUAGGGCCGAGCGGGAGAUGUGCGGCGAGUGCAGAAGGGCGGACCCGGGAUGUCCCGGGUUUUCGAGCGGGGAGCCGCCUGCUGAAUGCCCUUCUGCUGUCCUCCGUUCCCGCGGCUCCCCUAGGAGCCCCGCCCCGCCCAACUCUUACCCGGGCUCAUCGCCGCGGCUCAUCUCUCUCGCAACCGCCGCCGCACGCACCCGCUCCGCCGCCCCGCGCAGGGCAUCCUGUCGCCAGGUAACCGGGUGGCAGGGGCGCCGGCCCCACCCCCACCCUCGGCGGCGCGCGCUCGGCUGGGGUCCCUAGUGGGGUCCCGGUGGGUCCCUCGUCACUCCGGACGCUUCCCCGAGAGCUUCCCUGGAAAGCUGGCCUGGGACAGCACACCUGGGCGCCUCCCCGCACACGCGCGGCUGUCCAGGACGGGCUUGCUCACACUCGGACUCGCGGCACUACCCGCCGGACCAAAGCGCGCAUCCCUAAGAGGAGUUUCAGCAUUUGGGGAUUUGAACGGCCCAUGACCAAUAUUGUGAAAGGACUUUUGUUUGCUGCAAUGAAAAGAAGAUUCCUAUUUUCCAAUAAUGAAUUAACCUAAACAUGUAUUAAAAUAUGCUCAUGAAA